RNAcentral lists this ribosomal RNA (497 nucleotides) under uncultured bacterium. RNAcentral's name for it is "partial 16S ribosomal RNA". It matches the Rfam family "Bacterial small subunit ribosomal RNA", at positions 28 to 507 of the family's 1533-position model. The record is from RNAcentral.
GAUGGACGCUGGCGGCGUGCCUAAUACAUGCAAGUCGAGCGAACAGAUAAGGAGCUUGCUCCUUUGACGUUAGCGGCGGACGGGUGAGUAACACGUGGAUAACCUACCUAUAAGACUGGGAUAACUUCGGGAAACCGGAGCUAAUACCGGAUAACAUAUUGAACCGCAUGGUUCAAUAGUGAAAGGCGGCUUUGCUGUCACUUAUAGAUGGAUCCGCGCCGUAUUAGCUAGUUGGUAAGGUAACGGCUUACCAAGGCAACGAUACGUAGCCGACCUGAGAGGGUGAUCGGCCACACUGGAACUGAGACACGGUCCAGACUCCUACGGGAGGCAGCAGUAGGGAAUCUUCCGCAAUGGGCGAAAGCCUGACGGAGCAACGCCGCGUGAGUGAUGAAGGUCUUCGGAUCGUAAAACUCUGUUAUCAGGGAAGAACAAAUGUGUAAGUAACUGUGCACAUCUUGACGGUACCUGACCAGAAAGCCACGGCUAACUACGUG